RNAcentral lists this ribosomal RNA (286 nucleotides) under uncultured bacterium. RNAcentral's name for it is "partial 16S ribosomal RNA". It matches the Rfam family "Bacterial small subunit ribosomal RNA", at positions 518 to 793 of the family's 1533-position model. The record is from RNAcentral.
CGGUAAUACGGAGGGUGCGAGCGUUAAUCGGAAUUACUGGGCGUAAAGCGCAUGCAGGUGGUUUGUUUAAGUUCAGAUGUGAAAGACCCGGGGCGUCAACCUCGGAAUAGCAUUUGUAAACUAGGCAGACUAGAGUACUGUAGAGGGGGGUAGGAAUUUCUAGGUGUAGCGGUGAAAUAGCGUAGAGAUCUGAAGGAAUACCGGUGGCGAAGGCGGCCCCCUCGGACAGAUACUGACACUCAGAUGCGAAAGCGUGGGGAGCAAACAGGAUUAGAUACCCUGGUAG